AAGAAGAAAGAAACCUAUUGGAGCCAAGGAAAUGCCCAAAUGGGAUCUGAAAUCUAUGCCGAAUUCAAUUAAAGAUUCAAUUUUUACACUACCCAUUCAUCCAUCAGUGAAAAUCUUGGCUUUCUUUAAUCUAUAGCCCCAAAUUUAUCAAUACCCAUCUUAUCUUUCCGGAUUGUGGUUAAUGGAUUGAUUUUAAAUUGUCUUAUUCUAUAUGUAUGUUGACGAGUAAUUCCGAUUUCAUAUAUGGAUUUGGCUAGGAUGAGUUUUGUGAUGAUUAUAAGGUAGUGUGUAUAGUUACAAUUCACCAAAAUGGCAGUGUGUGUAGUGUUGAGGUCAAAAUAUAUAGUUUAAAGAGUGAUUCUCAGAGUUUGGGAUAGGAUGCGUUCCGUGAGUUUGGGGAUGUUUUUUAAUUGGAAGCUUCAUUGGACUUGGUGAGUACAGAGGUUGGGGGGAGACCUGGAGCAUCGUUUCUAUUGAGAAAUGGGAAGGUGGAGCUGCCUUGCGUUGGAGAAGAAAAUUUUCGUUUUAAGCUACGAGUGUUGGAAUAAAGCUGAUAUUCUGCUUGUUUUUGGAGCACCUGGGGUGAUACAGAAUCAAGAAGAGAUACACCACCGGUUAUCAAAAAGAUAUACGAUCAAAGGGACGAUACAGAAUCAAGAGGAGAUACACCAUCGGUUAUCAAAAAGAUGUACGAUCUAAAGAUUGAUUCGAUUAGAUAUGCACAAGUUACUAACCUAAGAAUCUUCCACAAUGACAAAGCAGGACAAUCAAACCUUAUUCUCCAAAAGCUAAAAAAAUUUGGCAACCAAAAUGGAGUUGGGGGAAAAUGAAAACACCCAUCAAACCCAAAACGGAGCAAACCCAUUAACCACCAUUCUGAAUUUCCAUCAACUUCGGUGCGAGAUUUCCAAUACCCAAAUGACAUCUGAAGCCUCGGAUCCACCGCCGCAUGGGAGCAAACCCUCAAACUUCGCUGAAUUUUCAUCAACUUCAAUGAACAAUUCAAUCUUGACAAUCCCAUUUCUGCCGGCAGAACUCAUCAUUGAAAUCCUCUCAAGGCUUCCUGUGAAAUCUCUCUUGAAAUUUAGGUCUGUUUCGAAAUCUUGGCUUUCUAUAAUUUCUAGCCCUAAAUUUAUCAAAACUCAUCUUAGGGUAUCUAUUGAUAACAAGGAGUGUACUCACCAUAGGCUCUUGAUGAAAUUGUAUCGGGCUAAUAGCAAUCUUAAGGACUGUUCUUUUAGCUCUUUACUUUACAAUGAAUCUGUUAUUGAGGCAAAUGACUUGAAUUGUCCCAUGGAAAACUCCGGUGUAUCUUUUUGCAUUGUGGGUUCAAUCAAUGGACUGAUUUGUUUUGCCGAUGGGACAGGAGACUUGUUCUUAUGGAAUCCAACAAUUAAAAAGUACAAGAAAUUGUCUCAUCGUAGAUUGACAAGUAAUACCAAUUUCAUAUAUGGUUUUGGAUAUGAUGAGUUCUGUGAUGAUUAUAAGGUAGUAUGUAUUGUUGCAAUUUACCAACAUGGCGGUUAUUCUACUGUUGAGGUCAAAAUAUAUAGUUUAAAGAGUGAUUCUUGGAGAAAUAUGGAUGAUUUAGGGGAUAGGAUGCGCUCUAGGACUUCGGCUACGUUCGUAAAUGGGAAGCUUCAUUGGACUACUUCUUGUGGUCUUGGCGAGCUUAGAGGUCGGGGGACCUGGAGCAUCGUUUCUAUGGAUAUGGCUGAUGAGAAAUGGAGAAAGAUAGAGCCCCCUUGCUUUGGAGAAGAAGAUUUUGGUUUUAAGGUAGGAGUGUUGGGAAAUAACCUUUCUGUACUUAGUAUGAACGUCCUCCUCACUCGCGUAAAUAUAUGGGUUAAGGAGGAGUAUGGGGUUAAAGAGUCCUGGACAACAAUGUAUACCAUAAAGUGUCUCAACGAUCUUGACAGGCAUUUUCUUUACCCAUCAUGUUACAUGUCAAAUAAAGGUGACACUCUUCUUGUUUAUGUAACACCUGGAAUGAUACAGAAUCAAGAGGAUACACCAUUUGUUAUCAAAAAGAUAUGUGAUGAUCCGAUUAAAUAUGUAGAGGUUACUAACUUUGGUGCCCGUUUGUCGAAUGAAAUCUACAUUGAAAGCCUUGUCUGUCCGCUUUCACAAAACCAACAAGGAUUAAGCAAGAAUGAAGGUUGCAGAUGCUCAGAUGAAUUACAAUUGUGUAACUUAUGAUUUAUGUGGAUUUUGAAGGGCGAGUACGACAAGUCUGGUCCAUCCAUUGUCCACAGGAAGUGCUUCUAAGUGAACUCAGAUCUACUGUUAUAGGCAAGUCUUUGAGAUGCGGCUAUCAAAGAAGGGCGAUUAAAAUCAUUGUACCGCUGAUACUAUUUCAUGUUUCCAGUGCAAGCCUCUUUUGUAAGUUGACAAAUUCGAUUUUGUAAAUAUGUUUGGGACUCAACUAGUGGUUAGAGUAAUGAUUUUGUAAGAUUUGUGUACAAAAAAUCAAAUUAGAAAGAUAACUCGCGAUGAUUGAAUAAGCUCGAAGAAGUGGAUUUGAAUUUCAAAUCGUGUCUUUCUUUUAUUUUAUGUGUGUGAGAAAUUUGAAGUGUUGUUUAGAUUUGUUGGAAUAGUCUAAAGAGAUUCUCUCUAUAAAAUUUGAAGUCAUUUGAUGGA
Molecule: RNA transcript, 2640 nt
Organism: Solanum tuberosum (potato)
Lineage: Eukaryota; Viridiplantae; Streptophyta; Magnoliopsida; Solanales; Solanaceae
Gene name: F-box/kelch-repeat protein At3g23880-like
Exons: 3
Source: RefSeq, a predicted model, not a curated record